AUGAUGCAAAGCCCGAGCAAAUUGUCUGGCCCCUUUGUCUCUACUCCCUCUGGUGUGUCGGGGCUCCAAGGUUGGACUGACCUUCCAGUUGACCUGUUGCAUUCCAUCAUUCCUCUGUUGGGAUCCUAUGUCGAUCUAUCUGUGUUUGUUAGCACAUGUCGUUCUUGGCGUGUUGCUUUCUUGUCAUACCCAUCCAAAUCAACCUUAUGCACGGUACUCCUGCCUCUCCUUGUCCAACCCAAUGUCCUUGACCUAUCUCCCCAUCUCCCUUCUAGCAAUGGUCGCCAUGAGCUACGCAAUUGUAAGCUCAUCGAUCUAGCCAAGCAGAACAUAUCCCUUUGCUGCCAGAUUCCUCGAAAGACUUUUGAGAACAUGUGGUUUGUUGGCUCUUCCUAUGGGCAUCUCAUCUGCUGCCUCAAAGGGAAUUUUUUUAUCGUUGAUGUGUUGACUGGUGCCGAAUUUUCACCUCCAUCUCUUCCGUUGAGUUGCGACUUUGACUUCUACUACUAUGGCACUCUGACAGCGCGCCCUGCAUCACCAAACUGCCAUCUACUUGUCAGCACCCAUCACUCCCUGUUUGAUUGGCCCAUUGGAAGUGACUCUUGGUCUCAACUCAUGCUUCCGUAUUCACGCAUAGAUCAGAUUGUGGAAUUCAACGGUCAGUUCAUCGCACUGGAUUGCCAUUGGAGGAUCUACAUUCUGAAGUUGGCCCCCCAGCUUGGCCUGGAGCAGAUAACAACCCGCAGGUUUUUGGACGACAUGGCCAAAUGCCCACAAAACCGAUGGCUAGUAGUAUGUGAUGACAUGCUUCUCAUCAUUUGCUAUUAUGAGAGCUUGUUGUCAUCUAAAGCACCAGUCCAAUAUAAACCAUACCGUCUUGAUAUGUCGACCAGACCUGCAAAAUGGGUGGAGGUGAAGAAGCUGGACAACUGGGCACUCUUUGUAGGGCGUGAUUUCAGGAGCCCGUCGUUUUCUUGCUCGAGCCCGGAACAAUGGGGAGGGUGGAGUAACCGGCUGUAUUACGCCCAUAACUUUCAGCCUUUGACCGUACAUGGGUUGGGUGACGAGGCAGAGGCUGCGUGGGAACCUUCCACUGACCCCAAUCUUUUCUAUGGGAGAAACAGGUACAAGAAGGUGCAGGCCUUCUGGGUGUACCCAAGCAUGUUCAGUUCCGAUGGCUAG
RNAcentral lists this ribosomal RNA (1182 nucleotides) under Triticum aestivum (bread wheat). RNAcentral's name for it is "partial small subunit ribosomal RNA". The record is from RNAcentral. Lineage: Eukaryota; Viridiplantae; Streptophyta; Magnoliopsida; Poales; Poaceae.